UAACUCUGAGGGGAAAGGUGUCCUGGCA
RNAcentral lists this non-coding RNA (28 nucleotides) under Mus musculus (house mouse). The record is from RNAcentral. Lineage: Eukaryota; Metazoa; Chordata; Mammalia; Rodentia; Muridae.